Molecule: ribosomal RNA, 460 nt
Filed under: uncultured bacterium
Lineage: Bacteria
Description: partial 16S ribosomal RNA
Rfam family: Bacterial small subunit ribosomal RNA
Source: RNAcentral
CCUACGGGUGGCAGCAGUGAGGAAUAUUGGUCAAUGGCCGUAAGGCUGAACCAGCCAAGUAGCGUGAGGGAAGAAUGCCCUAUGGGUUGUAAACCUCUUUGAUGCGGGGAAAAAGGUGUCCACGUGUGGAUGUUUGCAGGUACCGCAUGAAUAAGGACCGGCUAAUUCCGUGCCAGCAGCCGCGGUAAUACGGAAGGUCCGGGCGUUAUCCGGAUUUAGUGGGCUUAAAGGGAGCGUAGGUGGAUUGUUAAGUCAGUUGUGAAAGUCUGCGGCUCAACCGUAAAAUUGCAGUUGAAACUGGCAGUCUUGAGUACGGUAGAGGUGGGUGGAAUUCGUGGUGUAGCGGUGAAAUGCUUAGAUAUCACGAAGAAUUCCGAUUGCGAAGGCAGCUCACUGGACUGCAACUGACACUGAUGCUCGAAAGUGUGGGUAUCAAACAGGAUUAGAUACCCCAGUAGUC